UGGAGAUAGAGAUAAGGGUGUGUAUGGC
Molecule: non-coding RNA, 28 nt
Filed under: Mus musculus (house mouse)
Lineage: Eukaryota; Metazoa; Chordata; Mammalia; Rodentia; Muridae
Source: RNAcentral